Molecule: ribosomal RNA, 614 nt
Filed under: Canoparmelia epileuca
Lineage: Eukaryota; Fungi; Ascomycota; Lecanoromycetes; Lecanorales; Parmeliaceae
Description: SSU rRNA
Rfam family: Bacterial small subunit ribosomal RNA
Source: RNAcentral
AUGUGUCUUGAGAAAUUACGUGCCAGCAGUCGCGGUAAUACGUACAAGACUAGUGUUAUUCAUGUUUAAUCGGUUUAAAGGGUACCUAGACGGUAAAUCAAGCUUUCAUGUAAAAUGAAAAGGACUAAUUUACUAGAGUUACUUACGAGGGGGCAUUAAAGUACUGCUGGUGUAGAGAUGAAAUUCUGUUAUACCUCUUUUCGAAAAAAUCAUGGCACAGGUAUAGGCGAAGGCAUCUCCUUAUGUGAUAACUGACGUUGAGGGACGAAGGCUUUGUGUAACAAACAGGAUUAGAUACCCUAGUAGUUGAAGCAGAAAAUGAUGAAUGUCAUAGAUUAGAUGUAUAAGUUUAUUCUAUAAAUGAAAGUGUAAGCAUUCCACCUCAUGAGUAAUUUGGCAACCUUGGAAUUGAAAUCAUUAGACCGUUUCUGAAACCAGUAGUGAAGUAUGUUGUUUAAUUUGAUAAUCCGCAAAAAACCUUACCACAAUUUGAAUAUUUAUAUUAUUUGUUUCUUAUUAAUUAAGUUAAUAAAAAGGCAAUAAGAUAUAUUUACAAGCGUUGCACGGCUGUCUUCAGUUAAUGUCGUGAGACUUUGGUUAGUUCCAUUAAUUUA